Molecule: ribosomal RNA, 610 nt
Filed under: Sphaerulina sp.
Lineage: Eukaryota; Fungi; Ascomycota; Dothideomycetes; Mycosphaerellales; Mycosphaerellaceae
Description: eukaryotic LSU rRNA
Rfam family: 5.8S ribosomal RNA (bases 218-371)
Source: RNAcentral
CGUUGGUGAACCAGCGGAGGGAUCAUUACCGAGUUCUACACUCAAACCCAUGUGAACAUACCUAUUACAGUUGCUUCGGCGGGCUGCCGGGUACCGCCCGCGGAUGCAUCGACAUCCCGGACGGCCCGGCCGCCCCAGACCGGCCCGCCGGAGGUUUCAAACUCUACGUCUACGCUUUUGCAUAUGAAGUCUGAGUGUACAAAAAAAAAUAAGUUAAAACUUUCAACAAUGGAUCUCUUGGUUCUGGCAUCGAUGAAGAACGCAGCGAAAUGCGAUAAGUAAUGUGAAUUGCGGAAUUCAGUGAAUCAUCGAAUCUUUGAACGCACAUUGCGCCCGCCGGUAUUCCGGCGGGCACGCCUGUCCGAGCGUCAUCUCACCACUCAAGCACAGCUUGGUGUUGGCCGACGCGGUUUGUCCGCGCGGCUCAAAUGCAGCGGCGAGACGGUGUCGAGUUUCCCCUACGCGGUAAAACAAUCUCGUAUCGGCGACCCUCCCGGCUCUGCCCAAAACCCAUUCGGGGGCUUAGGCCCUCAUCUAGGUUUGACCUCGGAUCAGGUAGGAAUACCCGCUGAACUUAAGCAUAUCAAUAAGCGGAGGAAAAGAAACCAAC